RNAcentral lists this ribosomal RNA (292 nucleotides) under uncultured bacterium. Its description in RNAcentral is "partial 16S ribosomal RNA". It matches the Rfam family "Bacterial small subunit ribosomal RNA", at positions 505 to 796 of the family's 1533-position model. The record is from RNAcentral.
GUGCCAGCCGCCGCGGUAAUACGGAGGGUGCAAGCGUUAAUCGGAAUUACUGGGCGUAAAGCGCGCGUAGGCGGUUAGAUAAGUCGAUUGUGAAAUCCCCGGGCUCAACCUGGGAAUUGCAGUCGAGACUGUCUGACUAGAGUGUGGGAGAGGGUGGUGGAAUUCCCGGUGUAGCGGUGAAAUGCGUAGAUAUCGGGAGGAACAUCAGUGGCGAAGGCGACCACCUGGCCCAACACUGACGCUGAGGUGCGAAAGCGUGGGUAGCAAACAGGAUUAGAUACCCCUGUAGUCC